Molecule: long non-coding RNA, 317 nt
Filed under: Glycine max (soybean)
Lineage: Eukaryota; Viridiplantae; Streptophyta; Magnoliopsida; Fabales; Fabaceae
Description: long non-coding RNA (GMAX_LNC002217)
Source: RNAcentral
GUCUUCGAACGCCUCACCCACCUCUUCUCCGCCACCGAGUCCUCCCUCUCCUCCACCCUCUUCACUUCCCCACCCUUCCAAUCCUUCACCGUCCUCCUUCUAGAAGCCUCCCCCACCCCCUUCCUCAAUUCAACCCUAAACCCAAACCCUUUCUACAAACCCAUCACCAAACUCCUUAACCUUUCCAAUCCCAUCAACGACCCCGAGAGCGACACGUUCAAAACCCUCGACGGUGUUACCGUUGUUGGGUUUGUGUUGUUUUUUCCGAACUAUUCGACUUUUCUAGGGAAGCCAGGGUUUUACGUGGAAGACCUGUU